RNAcentral lists this transfer RNA (76 nucleotides) under Candidatus Azambacteria bacterium. RNAcentral's name for it is "tRNA-Thr". It matches the Rfam family "tRNA". Rfam says of the family: Transfer RNA (tRNA) molecules are approximately 80 nucleotides in length. The record is from RNAcentral. Lineage: Bacteria; Candidatus Azamiibacteriota.
GCCACCUUAGCUCAGCUGGUAGAGCAAUGCUUUCGUAAAGCAGAGGUCCCCGGUUCGAAUCCGGGAGGUGGCUCCA